This 397-nucleotide long non-coding RNA is filed under the name Pan troglodytes (chimpanzee). RNAcentral describes it as "long non-coding RNA NONPTRT011419". Lineage: Eukaryota; Metazoa; Chordata; Mammalia; Primates; Hominidae. The record is from RNAcentral.
CCGGGCUGAGGUGGCGUGUGGGUGGCCGUGCCCCUCUGCCUGGAGCCGCCUCAAAUCAACUUUAUUGACAGUAGGCGGUGACCGGCAGGCGGGGUGCACGCUGGGCACACGUGCCUGGUCGGUGUUACUUGAAGCGUGGGGACUAGAAGUCAGACCCUGAGGAGCAUGAUCUCUGGAAGCUGGAGAGACCUUAAGAGUUAGGCCAACCUGUUGUGGGUGCUGGAAUCCUUUGGGCACCAAGAAGUGCUUGCACACGCUCUAGUGAUGGGGAACUUAACACUUCAUGAAAUCUGCCAAACUGUUUUUCCAGAGUUGCUGUGUCAUUUAUGUUAUGUCCCCAGUGCAUGAGACAUCUGGAUCCUUUCCAGCACUUGUUCCUUCCUCCACCGAAGUCUUG